RNAcentral lists this unclassified non-coding RNA (222 nucleotides) under Hevea brasiliensis (rubber tree). The record is from RNAcentral. Lineage: Eukaryota; Viridiplantae; Streptophyta; Magnoliopsida; Malpighiales; Euphorbiaceae.
UCAAACUACAAAGCGAACAAACUAUCAUGAUCAGCUACCCUGACUCAAUUAAUACAAGCUAGUACUGUUUAUUCCUUCUUCCUGGAAUCCUUCUGUUGCCCUCUCUUUCGAAUACCAAGGCAAAAGCGGAGUCGCCAUGCAUCAAUAAUGGAUUCUGGCAGUGCAUAUAGCAAACCCCAAAGAAGAGAAUGGGGCCAGUAAGGCGUGCAACGAGGUUCAUAU